GUGAUUAUAUUUUUAGCCUGUCUGCACAAGCCAAACAUUUAAAAUAACUAAUUUUUGGGUUGUAACAAAGGAGCAUAGACAGGAAAAUGAAGGGACUCCAAAUUCCUGUCUACAAAGGGUGCACAGGGACAAAAUUCAAAAGGAGGGAGUACAGGAGUGCACAAUGCGAAAAGACAUGAUCUUUCGCCAGCACAUCCCUUUCCCGUGAAUCGAUAAUGAUCCUUCCGCAGGUUCACCUACGGAAA
Molecule: unclassified non-coding RNA, 245 nt
Filed under: uncultured fungus
Lineage: Eukaryota; Fungi
Description: sequence contains ITS1
Source: RNAcentral